RNAcentral lists this ribosomal RNA (468 nucleotides) under uncultured bacterium. RNAcentral describes it as "partial 16S ribosomal RNA". It matches the Rfam family "Bacterial small subunit ribosomal RNA", at positions 28 to 507 of the family's 1533-position model. The record is from RNAcentral.
GACGAACGCUGGCGGCGUGCUUAACACAUGCAAGUCGAACGGAAAGGCCCUGCUUUUGUGGGGUGCUCGAGUGGCGAACGGGUGAGUAACACGUGAGUAACCUGCCCUUGACUUUGGGAUAACUUCAGGAAACUGGGGCUAAUACCGGAUAGGAGCUCCUGCUGCAUGGUGGGGGUUGGAAAGUUUCGGCGGUUGGGGAUGGACUCGCGGCUUAUCAGCUUGUUGGUGGGGUAGUGGCUUACCAAGGCUUUGACGGGUAGCCGGCCUGAGAGGGUGACCGGCCACAUUGGGACUGAGGGACGGAGCAGACUCCUACGGGAGGCAGCAGUGGGGAAUAUUGCACAAUGGGCGGAAGCCUGAUGCAGCAACGCCGCGAGCGGGAUGACGGCCUUCGGGUUGUAAACCGCUUUCGCCUGUGACGAAGAGUGAGUGACGGUAAUGGGUAAAGAAGCACCGGCUAACUACGUG